GAGCGAGCCGGCGAGCGACCGAGGUAAAGGUAUCGCGCCUUAGACAGAGGCCACCAGAGUUGAGUUGGGUUUACAUUUUGAUAGUGGUUACCCUAUGUUCAUCUUUUGUAUUUGAUGACUAGUAAUGUAAAGAAAAGAAUGUAAUGUGUAUUUUGAGGUAAAUGUGAUGUAAGAAAGAAAUGAUGAAAUGAUAUGUAAGGAAUUCGAAAAUGAACAAGAUGGAUGCAAUGUAUAUGGUCAAAAACGAAUCAUAGUACAAAUGAAUGUUUAGUUUUCCUUUCUUUCACUAAUGGCUAUUGCUUACCCUCGUGUAAGCCGUUUGU
Molecule: long non-coding RNA, 323 nt
Filed under: Ananas comosus (pineapple)
Lineage: Eukaryota; Viridiplantae; Streptophyta; Magnoliopsida; Poales; Bromeliaceae
Description: long non-coding RNA (ACOM_LNC041554)
Source: RNAcentral